UCCUAGCCACGAUUGCAGCAAUUGUCUGAGCUCAUUUUUCUGAUUUCAGGGGGCGCGGCGAAGCCGCGCCCCCUGAAAUCAGAAAAAUAGCGAGUGCGGAAAGCGUGAUAAAGC
Molecule: unclassified non-coding RNA, 114 nt
Filed under: Chryseobacterium profundimaris
Lineage: Bacteria; Pseudomonadati; Bacteroidota; Flavobacteriia; Flavobacteriales; Weeksellaceae
Description: Flavo-1 RNA
Source: RNAcentral